This is a long non-coding RNA of Microcebus murinus (gray mouse lemur), 887 nucleotides long. RefSeq lists it as uncharacterized. Lineage: Eukaryota; Metazoa; Chordata; Mammalia; Primates; Cheirogaleidae. The record is from RefSeq and is a predicted model, not a curated record.
UGGAGCCGGCCUCCCCCCCCACGGUUGGAGCCGCCCCCCCACGGUUGGAGCCGCCCCCCCACGGUUGGAGCGGGGUUCAGCUCCGUUGGCCUGGGGGGAGGAGUCACGCCGGCAGAGGCCUGCUCUAGACAGGAGAGAUAGGAAGCAUGAAGCUUUUUUAAAAAAGGGAUCUUUGGUCUAUCCUACCUCUUGAAAAGUUGAAAAAGCAAGUAGACUGCUGUGUUUCAUCAACUUGGGCAGAAUCGCUGGGGCUGGGUGAAGAAUGGGAUUCUCCAGGAAAAGCCAGUGCUGGAAGAGCCGUGAGCCAGGCAGCGGGAAGCAGCUUUUGACAGGAGAAUUCUUCCCUCCCCUCAGGCUCUGGGGGCAGAUGGCGGCCACAGCCCUGGAGCACCGUGUUUGGACAGACACCGUGUUUCCCAGACUCUGUGCAUCUUGGAACAUCAGUGUUUCUUCUAUGAGGAGUCAGUAGGAGUUGCUCUGUUGUGAUACAUGACUUUAGUCCAGGUUUGACUCCAGUUUCUCUGUGUGUAAUGACACCACCAUGCUGCCUUGACGGGGGAAAUCUUGAAGUCGUGUUUACCUCUUUUCUUCGUCUGCUGGAAAUCUGAUUAUUGACAUUUUCCAUAAAUGCAUCAAGGACUCUUGCAUCUGUGGAGAAACAUUUAACAUUAAAAGGAUGAUAAAAUAUUUAUUUAAUUUUAUUAAUUUAUUUAAAAAAUUCUUUAUACAAGUAUGAAGAAUCUACCCUGUGGAAUUAAAAACCCGAACAGUUGGUGUCAUAAAAUGUAAUCUUGAUUGGAAUGGUAUUUCUUGGAGAACUCUGCUGGGAUCCUUCUCUCAUACCCCACAACUUACAGCCCAAAUAAACAAAUGAGGAAAAUGACCAA